This 70-nucleotide transfer RNA is filed under the name Platypalpus longicornis. Its description in RNAcentral is "tRNA-Trp". It matches the Rfam family "tRNA". From Rfam's summary of the family: Transfer RNA (tRNA) molecules are approximately 80 nucleotides in length. Their secondary structure includes four short double-helical elements and three loops (D, anti-codon, and T loops). Lineage: Eukaryota; Metazoa; Arthropoda; Insecta; Diptera; Hybotidae. The record is from RNAcentral.
AAGGAUUUAAGUUAAAAAAACUAAUAGCCUUCAAAGCUAUAAAUAAAAGUUAUUAAUCUUUUAAGCCUUA